AUAAAGCCUUAGUAUGGAGCUAAGAUCAAGUGUAGUAUCUGCUCUUAUCAGUUUAAUAUCUGAUACAAAAUAUUAUAUUUUUUUAAGGCCAGGCUGGAUGGGGCUUUGAGCAACCUGGUCUAGUGGGAGGUGUCCCUGCCCAUGGCAGGGGGGUUGGAACUCAAUGAUCUUUAAGGUCCCUUCCAACUCUA
This 191-nucleotide small nuclear RNA is filed under the name Calidris pygmaea (Spoon-billed sandpiper). RNAcentral describes it as "U2 spliceosomal RNA (ENSCPGG00000018455.1)". The stretch from base 1 to 115 matches the Rfam family "U2 spliceosomal RNA". Rfam says of the family: U2 is a small nuclear RNA (snRNA) component of the spliceosome (involved in pre-mRNA splicing). Lineage: Eukaryota; Metazoa; Chordata; Aves; Charadriiformes; Scolopacidae. The record is from RNAcentral.